Molecule: ribosomal RNA, 492 nt
Filed under: uncultured bacterium
Lineage: Bacteria
Description: partial 16S ribosomal RNA
Rfam family: Bacterial small subunit ribosomal RNA
Source: RNAcentral
AGUGAACGCUGGCGGUAGGCCUAACACAUGCAAGUCGAACGGCAGCACAGUAAGAGCUUGCUCUUACGGGUGGCGCGUGGCGGACGAGUGAGGAAUACAUCGGAAUCUACUUUUUCGUGGGGGAUAACGUAGGGAAACUUACGCUCAUACCGCAUACGACCUACGGGUUAAAGCAGGGGGUCUUCGGACCUUGCUCGGUUGAAUGAGCCGAUGUCGGAUUAGCUAGUUGGCGGGGUAAAGGCCCACCAAGGCGACGAUCCGUAGCUGGUCUGAGAGGGUGAGCGGCCACACUGGAACGGAGACACGGUCCAGACUCCUACGGGAGGCAGCAGUGGGGAAUAUUGGACAAUGGGCGCAAGCCUGAUCCAGCCAUACCGCGUGGGUGAAGAAGGCCUUCGGGUUGGAAAGCCCUUUUGUUGGGAAAGAAAAGCAGCAGGUUAAGACCCCGCUGUUCUGACGGUACCCAAAGAAUAAGCACCGGCUAACUUCGUG